This 71-nucleotide transfer RNA is filed under the name Heterocephalus glaber (naked mole-rat). It matches the Rfam family "tRNA". From Rfam's summary of the family: Transfer RNA (tRNA) molecules are approximately 80 nucleotides in length. Their secondary structure includes four short double-helical elements and three loops (D, anti-codon, and T loops). Further hydrogen bonds mediate the characteristic L-shaped molecular structure. tRNAs have two regions of fundamental functional importance: the anti-codon, which is responsible for specific mRNA codon recognition, and the 3' end, to which the tRNAs corresponding amino acid is attached (by aminoacyl-tRNA synthetases). tRNAs cope with the degeneracy of the genetic code in two manners: having more than one tRNA (with a specific anti-codon) for a particular amino acid; and 'wobble' base-pairing, i.e. permitting non-standard base-pairing at the 3rd anti-codon position. Lineage: Eukaryota; Metazoa; Chordata; Mammalia; Rodentia; Bathyergidae. The record is from Rfam by way of RNAcentral.
GAGGGUGUAGCUCAGUGGUAGAGCACUUGCCUUGCAUGCCAAAUGCCUGGGUUUAAUUCCCAACACACACA